Molecule: long non-coding RNA, 461 nt
Organism: Oncorhynchus tshawytscha (Chinook salmon)
Lineage: Eukaryota; Metazoa; Chordata; Actinopteri; Salmoniformes; Salmonidae
Source: Ensembl
AAUUUCUUGGUGAGGAAUAGUUCUCACAGGAAAGGAUGUGCACCUCUGUUUCUACCUCCCGUUGUGCAGCAACCACAAACACAGCAGGUAGUCUAGUGGUUAGAGUGUUGGACUAGUAACCAGCAGGUAGCCUAGUGGUUAGAGCGUUGGACUAGUAACCAGCAGGUAGCCUAGUGGUUAGAGCGUUGGACUAGUAACCAGCAGGUAGCCUAGUGGUUAGAGCGUUGGACUAGUAACCAGCAGGUAGACUAGUGGUUAGAGUGUUGGACUAGUAACCAGCAGGUAGUCUAGUGGUUAGAGCGUUGGACUAGUAACCAGCAGGUAGCCUAGUGGUUAGAGCGUUGGACUAGUAACCAGCAGGUAGCCUAGUGGUUAGAGUGUUGGACUAGUAACCAGCAGGUAGUCUAGUGGUUAGAGUCUUGGACUAGUAACCAGCAGGAAGCCUAGUGGUUAGAGUGUUG